Nycticebus coucang (slow loris) is the source of this 899-nucleotide long non-coding RNA. RefSeq lists it as uncharacterized. NCBI's taxonomy places the organism in Eukaryota, Metazoa, Chordata, Mammalia, Primates, Lorisidae. The transcript is spliced from 3 exons. The record is from RefSeq and is a predicted model, not a curated record.
GCCGCCUCGGCGCGCCGGCCGCGAAGGCUCCCGCAGUGCACAGUAGCCGCCCCGAGCGCGGGAGGGAAGCAGCUGGGACGCGCCGGGGAAACGCGCGCGGCGGUGAAGAAACCAAUAUUCCUAGAAGUUAAAUGACUUUUCAAGGUGACCUCGUUGGUAGUGGGUUAAGCCACAUGAAACCACCAAUACCCACAAGAAACCACAGGAAGACAGUUUUGCAUGGCUCAGCCUAUCAAACAGUUAAGUUCUGAGACAAACGUGGAUGCUUGCAAAUCUGAGGCUGGGGAGUCUCUGAGAGACUGGAGGGAAAGAGUGGGGACUCCCUACUAACACCCCGACCUCCAGCACUUCCAAGCAACGCUGUUCAUAUGAAAACUUUUUAAAGUGAGUUCACUGUACAUUCUGUUUUUGCUUUCUUGCCUGUUGGCUUCAGUCAAAAGAAUCUGGACUGGAAGCCCAGCCAAACACUCUCAUCGGAUCCGAUCUCAGCCACACUGUCAUCGGAGGGAGACGUGGCAUCACCCGAACAUUCGCUCUCUUGUUCACACAUGUGGACUCUGACCAGAGGAGGACUGAGCUGCAGUGGCUACAAGCAGAUAUCUCCCAACUUCAUUGAGUUUGAUGACAGUGGUAAUAAAAAUAGUCUUUUCCGUGACGAACACUACCCAGUAAGUCGGCAGCAAAAGGGAUAGUUUUAAGAGUAACCCAUGCAUUAGCUCUUGUCAAUGAGAUUCCUUUUGGCAGUAAUAUAUUCUGGGGAUUAAGUUAAACCAAAUGUUUGUAACAAUGGAAAUGUACUCGUGUUAACAGUUAGGAUUAUUGUACCAGGGAAUAUUUAUUGCAGUUAUGUUCAAAUUAACCCUUUGGGACAUUGUUUGAUCAUUUUCAUCUCUUUUUGA